This 330-nucleotide ribosomal RNA is filed under the name Aphis fabae (black bean aphid). RNAcentral's name for it is "partial 12S ribosomal RNA". Lineage: Eukaryota; Metazoa; Arthropoda; Insecta; Hemiptera; Aphididae. The record is from RNAcentral.
GGAUUAGAUACCCUAUUAUAAAAAUUUAAAUUAAUUUACUAAAAAAUUAAUAGUUAAGUUCUUUAAAUUUAAAAAAUUUGGCGGUAUUUUAGUCUUAUUAGAGGAACCUGUUUAUUAAUUGAUAAUCCACGAUUAAUUUUACUUAUUUAAUUAAUUCAUAUAUCGCUGUCAUGAAUAUAUUUAAAAAUUUAUUUUCUUUUUUUAUUUUUAUAAUUUAUGUUAAGUCAAGAUGUGGUUUAUAAAUAAGAAUAUAAUGGGUUACAAUAAAUUUUAUUUUUGGAUUUAAAAUGAAAAUUAAAAUGAAAUUGGAUUUAAUAGUAAGUUUAUUUA